This 465-nucleotide ribosomal RNA is filed under the name uncultured bacterium. RNAcentral's name for it is "partial 16S ribosomal RNA". It matches the Rfam family "Bacterial small subunit ribosomal RNA", at positions 28 to 507 of the family's 1533-position model. The record is from RNAcentral.
GACGAACGCUGGCGGCGUGCUUAACACAUGCAAGUCGAACGGAAAGGCCCCUUUGGGGGUACUCGAGUGGCGAACGGGUGAGUAACACGUGAGUAACCUGCCCUUGACUUCGGGAUAACUUCAGGAAACUGGGGCUAAUACCGGAUAGGAAUCCUUGCUGCAUGGUGGGGGUUGGAAAGAUUCGGCGGUUUUGGAUGGACUCGCGGCUUAUCAGCUUGUUGGUGGGGUAGUGGCUUACCAAGGCUUUGACGGGUAGCCGGCCUGAGAGGGCGACCGGCCACAUUGGGACUGAGAUACGGCCCAGACUCCUACGGGAGGCAGCAGUGGGGAAUAUUGCACAAUGGGCGGAAGCCUGAUGCAGCAACGCCGCGUGCGGGAUGACGGCCUUCGGGUUGUAAACCGCUUUCAGCAGGGGCGAAGCUUGUGGUGACGGUACCUGCAGAAGAAGCACCGGCUAACUACGUG